UACGGGGGAUCCAAGCGUUAUCCGGAAUUACUGGGCGUAAAGAGUUGCGUAGGUGGCAUAGUAAGCGAGUAGUGAAAUGACGUGGCUCAACCAUGUGUCCAUUACUUGAACUGCUAAGCUAGAGCAUGAGAGAGGUAGCUGGAAUUUCUAGUGUAGGAGUGAAAUCCGUAGAUAUUAGAAGGAACACCGAUGGCGUAGGCAGGCUACUGGCUCAUUGCUGACACUAAGGCACGAAAGCGUGGGGAGCGACCGGG
This 254-nucleotide ribosomal RNA is filed under the name uncultured bacterium. RNAcentral's name for it is "partial 16S ribosomal RNA". It matches the Rfam family "Bacterial small subunit ribosomal RNA", at positions 524 to 776 of the family's 1533-position model. The record is from RNAcentral.